GAGUUGCUCUCGGUCCUUCAACGUGAGAACACUUUCACACCAUUCGAUCAAGAUGAUACGCUUCAUCUUGAUCGUGGCGGCGGCUCUUGGAAGCCCAGCCGUCCUCGGCCAGUACUACAAUACUUUCUCUUACAAUGGCCAGUAUCGUUCGACCGGAUCAAUCGCCUCGCAAAUUCGGAACCUCACCAGAACCUGGGUUGCCGGUAACAAUACUCUGCCACCAGCGGCCUACUUCAAAGGUGUUCUGUACGAUCGUCUAGGUGAAACGCGUUUGGCUCCGGCCAUUCUGGUCAACCCUCAAGAUAUCCAACUGCCAGAAUCGUUCGACGCCCGCCAGAAGUGGUCCCAAUGUCCAAGUCUGAACGUGAUCCGUAACCAGGGAUGCUGUGGAUCGUGUUGGGCUAUCUCGGCCGCUUCGGCCAUGACCGAUCGUUGGUGCAUCAAGUCCAAGGGCAAGGAGCAGUUCUCGUUCGGUGCCACCGAUAUGCUGGCUUGCUGUCACGCUUGUGGAGAUGGAUGCAAGGGUGGAUAUCUGGGUCCGGCUUGGCAGUUCUGGGUCGAACAGGGCGUCUCUUCGGGAGGUCCGUACAAUUCGCGCCAGGGAUGUCAUCCAUAUCCGAUCGAUGUGUGUGACGCAUCCGGUGAAGAAGCCGACACUCCCAAGUGUUCGAAGCGGUGUCAGUCGGGCUACAACGUGACCGAUGUUUGGCAAGAUCGUCGCUACGGUCGUGUGGCUUACUCCAUUCCCAAUGACGAGCAGAAGAUCAUGGAGGAGAUCUACAUUAACGGACCGGUUCAGGCCGCGUUCAUGACCUACCAGGACCUGCACGCCUACAAGAGCGGAGUUUAUCGGCACGUGUGGGGUCACAUGGCCGGAGGCCACGCCGUCAAGCUGAUGGGCUGGGGAGUGGAGAACGGUCUCAAGUACUGGCUGGUGGCCAACUCCUGGGGUGACGAUUGGGGAGACAAUGGUUUCUUCAAGAUUGUCCGCGGAGAGAACCACUGCGGAAUCGAGAAAGAUGUGCACGCUGGGUUGCCGAGCUUCAACAAACAUAAGGAGUUAGCUGGAAUCUACUUCUGAUCCGUCAUUUUGAUCCGAAAUCAAGAUGUGAUUUCAAUAAAAGAGUUUUAUUAAACCUU
This is an RNA transcript of Aedes aegypti (yellow fever mosquito), 1140 nucleotides long. It is a transcript of the gene named cathepsin B, with no coding region annotated. The transcript has a single exon. The record is from RefSeq and is a predicted model, not a curated record. NCBI's taxonomy places the organism in Eukaryota, Metazoa, Arthropoda, Insecta, Diptera, Culicidae.